UAUUUUUUCUGAUAUAACGGA
Caenorhabditis elegans is the source of this 21-nucleotide non-coding RNA. Lineage: Eukaryota; Metazoa; Nematoda; Chromadorea; Rhabditida; Rhabditidae. The record is from Ensembl.